GACGAACGCUGGCGGCGUGCUUAACACAUGCAAGUCGAACGGAAAGGCCCUGCUUUUGUGGGGUGCUCGAGUGGCGAACGGGUGAGUAACACGUGAGUAACCUGCCCUUGACUUUGGGAUAACUUCAGGAAACUGGGGCUAAUACCGGAUAGGAGCUCCUGCUGCAUGGUGGGGGUUGGAAAGUUUCGGCGGUUGGGGGUGGACUCGCGGCUUAUCAGCUUGUUGGUGGGGUAGUGGCUUACCCAGGCUUUGACGGGUAGCCGGCCUGAGAGGGUGACUGGCCACAUUGGGACUAAGAUACGGCCCAGCCUCCAACGGGGGGCAGCAGUGGGGAAUAUUGCACAAUGGGCGGAAGCCUGAUGCGGCAACGCCGCGUGCGGGAUGACGGCCUUCGGGUUGUAAACCGCUUUCGCCUGUGACGAAGCGUGAGUGACGGUAAUGGGUAAAGAAGCACCGGCUAACUACGUG
RNAcentral lists this ribosomal RNA (468 nucleotides) under uncultured bacterium. RNAcentral's name for it is "partial 16S ribosomal RNA". It matches the Rfam family "Bacterial small subunit ribosomal RNA", at positions 28 to 507 of the family's 1533-position model. The record is from RNAcentral.